AUGGAUGGAUGGACAGACAGAUGGAUGGAUGGACACACGGAUGGAUGGACAGGUGGAUGAUGGAUGGAUGGAUCCUGGCAGGAAUUCCCCGAUUCCCAGCAGCAAUUCCUCGCUCUCUGCUCCAUCUCCCCCCCACCCUCCGUUCCCCCUGGGCUCGCUCUGUCCCCGCCCCCUCUCUGCCCCGCCCCCUUUUUGGCCCCGCCCCCUCUCUGCACCGCCCCUUCUCUGUCCCCGCCCCCCUCUCAGCCCCGCCCCCUCACCGCUCCCGGUUCCGUCCCCAGACACGGGGCUGGAGUGCCCGGUGUGCAAGGAGGAUUACACCCUGGCCGAGCACGUCCGGCAGCUCCCCUGCAACCACGUCUUCCACAGCAGCUGCAUCGUGCCCUGGCUCGAGCUGCACGACACGUGCCCGGUGUGCAGGAAGAGCCUCAAAGGCGAAGAUUCCAGCAGGCAAAUCCCAAACCCCGACGCCUCCGACAGCGCAGUGCAGGAGAGAUGGACAUUCUGAGCCUCCUGGCCGAGGUUCUGCAGCGUUCCAGAAGGUUCCGGGGGCGUCCCAGCUCCAGGUGUGCGUUGAGAAUUCCAGCAGCCCCCCCAGUAGCAGGAAUUCGGGGGCCCCACCCCGUGGGAUCACAGCACCGAGCGCUCUCCUCCCAGGAAUUUCUCCUUCUGCUCCAUGGAAUUGCCUCGUUAGCCCUAAAUUGGGAAGGUUUUUGGGAGUGUUUUGGUUUCAUUUUUUUGUAUCAGAAAAGGUUUUCUUUUCCAGUAGGGGCCCAAUCCUAAGAGGGUUUCCCUCGUAGCCUUCUCUGGAAAAAGGUUGGGAUAAAAAAGGGGAUUUUUGGGAUCUUCUUGCACUCCAGGAGAUUGGAGUUGGAGCCACGAGAGAUUUUAUUGCCCCGGUUUGGGAUGGGAUCCUUGGGGGUCUGUGAAAUCAUGGCAGGGGGAAGGAGGAAGGUUCUGGAAGCCUCAGGAGCCCCCGUGGUCCUGGAGAGGCUCUGGGAGCUCUGUGGGGUCAGGAAUGCUCUCAGCAGGAUUUUGGUCUCAUCCUGGACAAUUUUUGGGGUUGAUUUGGGGUUUUUCGGACCCUUUUCCACGUGGCCCAGGUGUGUCCAAAGCUCCCUGAGCCCCCACGAGUCAUUCCAGGCAGGAAUUACGGAAUUAUGGAAUUAUGGACCAUUCCCUUGGCAACCCUCCCCAUAACUUAAGGAAACUCUUGAUUUUUCCUCAUUGUUUUCAGAGUUUGGUUUGGUUUUUUGGUUUUUUUCCAUUUCCUGGGAUUUUUCCAGGUCUGAAUCCUGGGAUUUUUCCUCGUGGAAUCCACAGGCAGCCCUGGGGGGACGUUGUGACCCCAUCCCUCGUGUUGGGGGGGAGAAGUUCCCAAACCCCUCGGGCUCGGUGGCUCCACAUCCACGGGGAUUUAAUUCCUGAUUUUCUUUGCUCUUCCGUCCAAUAAAGGCCUUUCUCAAAGAAUUCCCUUUCUCA
RNAcentral lists this long non-coding RNA (1482 nucleotides) under Junco hyemalis (dark-eyed junco). Its description in RNAcentral is "lncRNA (ENSJHYG00000008074.1)". Lineage: Eukaryota; Metazoa; Chordata; Aves; Passeriformes; Passerellidae. The record is from RNAcentral.